This 253-nucleotide ribosomal RNA is filed under the name uncultured bacterium. RNAcentral describes it as "partial 16S ribosomal RNA". It matches the Rfam family "Bacterial small subunit ribosomal RNA", at positions 524 to 776 of the family's 1533-position model. The record is from RNAcentral.
GACAGAGGUGCCGAGCGUUAGGCGGAAUCACUGGGCUUAAAGCGUGUGUAGGCGGGCGGGCAAGUACCUUGUGAAAUCCCACGGCUCAACCGUGGAACGGCUGGGUAUACUGCCUGUCUUGAGCCAACUAGGGGCGAGCGGAACAGACGGUGGAGCGGUGAAAUGCGUAGAUAUCGUCUGGAACGCCGAAGGUGAAAACAGCUCGCUGGGGCCGCGCUGACGCUGAGACACGAAAGCCAGGGGAGCGAACGGG